CUACGGGAGGCACCAGUGGGGAAUAUUGGACAAUGGGGGCAACCCUGAUCCAGCAAUGCCGCGUGAGUGAUGAAGGCCUUAGGGUUGUAAAGCUCUUUCGACGGGGACGAUGAUGACGGUACCCGUAGAAGAAGCCCCGGCUAACUUCGUGCCAGCAGCCGCGGUAAUACGAAGGGGGCUAGCGUUGUUCGGAAUUACUGGGCGUAAAGGGCGCGUAGGCGGUCUUGUAAGUCAGAUGUGAAAGCCCCGGGCUCAACCCGGGAAUAGCAUUUGAUACUGCGAGGCUUGAGUCCGGGAGAGGAUGGCGGAAUUCCCAGUGUAGAGGUGAAAUUCGUAGAUAUUGGGAAGAACACCGGUGGCGAAGGCGGCCAUCUGGACCGGUACUGACGCUGAGGCGCGAAAGCGUGGGGAGCAAACAGGAUUAGAUACCCCGGUAGUC
RNAcentral lists this ribosomal RNA (439 nucleotides) under uncultured bacterium. RNAcentral describes it as "partial 16S ribosomal RNA". It matches the Rfam family "Bacterial small subunit ribosomal RNA", at positions 339 to 795 of the family's 1533-position model. The record is from RNAcentral.